UCAUCCUAACAUCCAAUGGCAUUCCGAGGGCCUCAAAUCUUGCAUAACUUUACGAGUAUAAAGGGGGGUAGGGAUGUGAAGAAACCCGACUCUUUGGAGCAGAAAAUAUUACACAGAAAUCUAGAAGCUUUUCAGUUUUAAAACUGUAAAAUUUUCCAAAUUUAUCUUCAGCGAAGAGGAGAGAGAAGCAUCAAUGGGAUUAUUCUGGACCGCGUUGAUCGGCGUUAGGGCGCAUGCAAUUCUGAAGUGCCUGCAAAAAAUGUUCCAGCUUCGGAGGAACAAACCCCAACCACCAUGUUGCUUAGACAAUUUGAGUUGAGGAAUGUAAAAUUUCGUCCUGAUUCGAGAUAGAUUUGCCUUCUCUCUGUCUCUUUCUCUGUCUUUUAGAAUCAUUAUUUAGUUUAUUUUUAAAAAGUCGCAUUCCAAAAAGGCCAGUUUCGUGUUCUUAGUGCAAAACUAAAAUAAAAAUAAUAAUAAUAAAUGGUUUCUUUCUGAAUUUAAAAGAUAUGACAAAACACUCUCGUAAUUCCAUUCAUUGGAAUAUGCAUUCAUGGAGCUGCUGUGUAACACAGACCCACAUUCCUGUAAUCAUUUUGCAGGCGGUGCCUUGUCAGUAGUACUUUGUGUUCUCUGUAUCCUCAGACUGCCUUCAGGCUGCAGAAUCACAGAGUCUCACCAGGACACCAAGCUGCGGCCUAUUCGACUCGAUGCGCCACUUCAGCCUGUAGUAACACAGACUAACCUGCAUCUGCUACAACCUUGCUGUUCUUUAUACUUGGUAAAAAUAACAAAGUGUCACAUUUAAAUCUCCGAUUCUGGCAUAAAAUACAAGUCUGAGAAAAUGCUUUUUUCUUUUUAACUUUUUUUUUUUUAAAAGCCUUUCUAAAUUGUUCCGUCCUGGUUAGAUCAAAGCAAACAGUGCUAUCUAACAAUAUGUUUUGAUACAUUGGUCUCCAUGAAACUUCUCGACGAAAAUGUUGUUUUAAGUUCAACAUAAUUUAAUAUUUUAAGGAUAGAAUAAACGCACAAAAGCCAAACUGCUCCUCCGACUCACCCAGGCUACAGGGGCAGCUUUAUCAGGCCUGUGCAUCACCAGUAAAACCCUACAAAUACAAGGCCAAUAAAUCGCUCGCUCUGC
Xiphophorus hellerii (green swordtail) is the source of this 1138-nucleotide long non-coding RNA. RefSeq lists it as uncharacterized. The record is from RefSeq and is a predicted model, not a curated record. The transcript has 2 exons. NCBI's taxonomy places the organism in Eukaryota, Metazoa, Chordata, Actinopteri, Cyprinodontiformes, Poeciliidae.